UAGGGAAUCUUCCGCAAUGGGCGAAAGCUUGACGGAGCAACGCCGCGUGAGUGAUGAAGGUCUUCGGAUCGUAAAACUCUGUUAUUAGGGAAGAACAAAUGUGUAAGUAACUAUGCACGUCUUGACGGUACCUAAUCAGAAAGCCACGGCUAACUACGUGCCAGCAGCCGCGGUAAUACGUAGGUGGCAAGCGUUAUCCGGAAUUAUUGGGCGUAAAGCGCGCGUAGGCGGUUUUUUAAGUCUGAUGUGAAAGCCCACAGCUCAACCGUGGAGGGUCAUUGGAAACUGGAAAACUUGAGUGCAGAAGAGGAAAGUGGAAUUCCAUGUGUAGCGGUGAAAUGCGCAGCGAUAUGGAGGAACACCAGUGGCGAAGGCGACGUUCUGGUCUGUAACUGACGCUGAUGUGCGAAAGCGUGGGGAUCAAACAGG
Molecule: ribosomal RNA, 429 nt
Filed under: Actinomycetes bacterium
Lineage: Bacteria; Bacillati; Actinomycetota; Actinomycetes
Description: Actinobacteria bacterium partial 16S ribosomal RNA
Rfam family: Bacterial small subunit ribosomal RNA
Source: RNAcentral